CCUACGGGAGGCAGCAGUGGGGGAUAUUGCACAAUGGGGGGAACCCUGAUGCAGCGACGCCGCGUGGGUGACGGAGCGUUUCGGCGCGUAAAGCCCUAUCGGCAGGGAAGAAGAUGACGGUACCUGACCAAGAAGCCCCGGCUAACUACGUGCCAGCAGCCGCGGGAAUACGGAGGGGGCAAGCGUUAUCCGGAGUGACUGGGUGUAAAGGGGGCGCAGGCGGCAUUGCAAGCCAGGAGUGAAAGCCGGGGGCCCAACCGCGGGACGGCUCUUGGAACUGCAUGGCUGGAGUACCGGAGGGGCUGGCAGAAUUCCUAGUGUAGCGGUGAAAUGCGUAGAUAUUAGGAGGAACACCGGUGGCGAAGGCGGCCUGCUGGAUUGUGACUGACGUUGAGGCCCGAAGGCGUGGGGAGCAAACAGGAUUAGAUACCCCUGUAGUC
This 440-nucleotide ribosomal RNA is filed under the name uncultured bacterium. RNAcentral describes it as "partial 16S ribosomal RNA". It matches the Rfam family "Bacterial small subunit ribosomal RNA", at positions 338 to 795 of the family's 1533-position model. The record is from RNAcentral.